AGUCCGAGGUCAACCGUCGUAUGCGGUAACGCUGUUUGGCAGGGUGAGUUGUCUUUAAGGCAUGCGGAGGAAUGUGAGCAUCCCACGCACCCAGACACUUUGCAGUCAAGGACUGAAAAACAGAGAAAAAUGAGAAAAGAGAGCGUGGCGAGGAAGGUUCCUUCUCUCUCACCUCUCACAACCGGCCAGGCCUGAGCCCUAUUUUUCACAGAAGUUUGCUGUGGGACCAGCCAGGCUGCAAC
This 242-nucleotide long non-coding RNA is filed under the name Anas platyrhynchos (mallard). Its description in RNAcentral is "lncRNA (ENSAPLG00020012099.1)". The record is from RNAcentral. Lineage: Eukaryota; Metazoa; Chordata; Aves; Anseriformes; Anatidae.